AGCAGUAGCCGCGGUAAUACGGAGGGGGCUAGCGUUGUUCGGAAUUACUAGGCGUAAAGCGCACGUAGGCGGCUUUGUAAGUUAGAGGUGAAAGCCCGGAGCUCAACUCCGGAAUUGCCUUUAAGACUGCAGAGCUAGCAGGUGAGAGAGGUGAGUGGAAUUCCGAGUGUAGAGGUGAAAUUCGUAGAUAUUCGGAAGAACACCAGUGGCGAAGGCGGCUCACUGGCUCAUACUGGACGCUGAGGUGCGAAAGCGUGGGGAGCAAACAGGAUUAGAUACCCGCGUAGUCCCUGUCUCUUAUAU
This 303-nucleotide ribosomal RNA is filed under the name uncultured bacterium. RNAcentral describes it as "partial 16S ribosomal RNA". It matches the Rfam family "Bacterial small subunit ribosomal RNA", at positions 507 to 809 of the family's 1533-position model. The record is from RNAcentral.